Molecule: ribosomal RNA, 402 nt
Filed under: uncultured prokaryote
Description: bacterial SSU rRNA
Rfam family: Bacterial small subunit ribosomal RNA
Source: RNAcentral
UAGGGAAUAUUAGUAAUGGGCGAAAGCCUGAACUAGCAACACCGCGUGUGCGAAGAAGGCCUUCGGGUUGUAAAGCACUUUUUGAGAGGAUGAGGAAGGACGGUACUCUCAGAAUAAGUCUCGGCUAACUACGUGCCAGCAGCCGCGGUAACACGUAGGAGGCAAACGUUAUCCGGAUUUACUGGGCGUAAAGCGCGUGUAGGUGGUUUGGUAAGUAGAGCGUGAAAGCUCCUGGCUCAACUGGGAGAGGUCGUUCUAAACUGCCGGACUAGAGGAUGGUAGAGGGAGGGGGAAUUCCGGGUGUAGCGGUGAAAUGGGCAGAUAUCCGGAGGAACACAAGUGGCGAAAGCGGCCUCCUGGCCCACUCCUGACACUCAGACGCGAAAGCUAGGGUAGCAAACG